RNAcentral lists this ribosomal RNA (254 nucleotides) under uncultured bacterium. RNAcentral's name for it is "partial 16S ribosomal RNA". It matches the Rfam family "Bacterial small subunit ribosomal RNA", at positions 524 to 776 of the family's 1533-position model. The record is from RNAcentral.
UACGUAGGGUGCGAGCGUUGUCCGGAAUUAUUGGGCGUAAAGAGCUCGUAGGCGGUCUGUCGCGUCUGCUGUGAAAACUCAGGGCUUAACCCUGAGCUUGCAGUGGGUACGGGCAGACUAGAGUGCGGUAGGGGAGACUGGAAUUCCUGGUGUAGCGGUGAAAUGCGUAGAUAUCGAGAGGAACACCUGCGGCGAAGGCGGGUUGCUGGGCUGACAUUGACGCUGGAGGCACGAAAGCGUGGGGAUCAAACAGG